RNAcentral lists this long non-coding RNA (514 nucleotides) under Bos taurus (domestic cattle). RNAcentral's name for it is "long non-coding RNA NONBTAT007300". Lineage: Eukaryota; Metazoa; Chordata; Mammalia; Artiodactyla; Bovidae. The record is from RNAcentral.
GCAUAGUCACUGUAUAUUUUAAAUGUUAAAGAUGCACAUUAAACAACUUUUUUGAGCACUGUUACAAAGUGAAAAUCAUAGCAGUAACACAGCCUUAUGAGUAAGUUUCUAAUAGUACAUUUUAUUUCCAUUUUUAAAUUUGAGAAACCUCAAGUAAGGUAGCCUAACUGUCCCUUUGGGAAAGUUGAAACUAAAAUCAGGAUCUGCGUUUUUCACCUUUGCAUAAUUGAGCUCAAAACCAAAUCAUUUCAGCUUGAUGUGCAAAUGUUCAAUCUUUAAACUGUGGUGACAAAUGCACAGUAGACUAGGCACUGGGAAAUCUAAGUUCUGACCUUUAGCUAAUUGGGUAAGUCAUAGAAUCAAAUCAAAAGCAAAAAGAGGCUUGAGUAUCAAAGGUAGACAUCCAUUCUGAUUGGGUUGAAUACUUAACACUUCUAACAUAAUUGUUCUAUUUUCAAACAGUUUAAGGGUAUGAUGGAAAUUUCACAUCGCCCUUUCAAGCCCAUUUUUAUUU